This 87-nucleotide transfer RNA is filed under the name Spirochaetales bacterium. RNAcentral describes it as "tRNA-Ser". It matches the Rfam family "tRNA". From Rfam's summary of the family: Transfer RNA (tRNA) molecules are approximately 80 nucleotides in length. RNAcentral also lists the same sequence under 1 other name. The record is from RNAcentral. Lineage: Bacteria; Pseudomonadati; Spirochaetota; Spirochaetia; Spirochaetales.
GGAGAGGUGCGAGAGUGGUUGAAUCGGCCGGUCUCGAAAACCGGUAUACCUUAAUUGGUAUCAAGGGUUCGAAUCCCUUCCUCUCCG